UGUAAUUAUUUUUAUUGACUGAUUGCAUAUCAUUAAACAGGUAAUCUGGAAUCCCUAUUUCAACCAUAAUGAGUCAUUUCAGAUGAUAGGCAGCAGGCAUUUCAAACUGUAAUGUGCCCUACAACUUUGAUAUUUGACGAUAUUGCCGAGCUAUACAUGCUAGACAGAGUAUGCCGGUAAUUUGGAGCAAAACAGAGCAUUCCUAGGAAUCCCUUAGUAAGAGGGCAAGCAGACAAGUUGGACAACAAGACUGGCGAAACGUCAAUGCAGAUAAAAUCGCUAACUGGUUGUCUCGCCAUGACCGCAUCAUGCCUGAUAUUCAAUAAGAUACUGACAAUGGGUUGUCCUCAGAGGAGUAUAAGGCCUGGUACAACUUGGUGUCCCACCCUUUGAUACAUAAUGUCGCUAACCCACCCAAAGACAUAUUGCAACCUCUUAUCCAUGAAGAAAAAGAAGUGGUUCCUGCUCAUGAACCACAAUAUAUAAUGAGACCUCGAGGUUAGUGCAGUUAAGGUAUCUACAGUCAUGUUGGCAGAGGCACUUACACUUAGACAAAAGUGGUACCAUGAAGUUCUUAAUCGCGUUAACAACGCGUUUGAAUGUUGUCUAAGUUUGUGCAUGUGGAUAUGGGUGAAGUAGAAGCCAUUUCAGAUGAUAGGCAGCAGGCAUUUCAAACUAUAAUGUGCCCUACAACUUUGAUAUUUGACGAUAUUGCCGAGCUAUACAUGCUAGACAGAGUAUGCCGAUAAUUUGGAGCAAAACAAGGCAUUCCUAGGAAUCCCUUAGGAAGAGGACAAGCAGACAAGUUGGAUAACAAGACUGGCGAAACAUCAAUGCAGAUAAAAUCGCUAACUGGUUGUCUCGCCGUGACCGCAUCAUGCCUGAUAUUCAAUAAGAUACUGACAAUGGGUUGUCUUCAGAGGAGUAUAAGGUUAGUGCAGUUAAGGUAUCUAUAGUCAUGUUGGUAGAGGCACUUACACUUAGACAAAAGUGGUACCAUGAAGUUCUUAAUCGCGUUAACAACGCGUUUGAAUGUUGUCUAAGUUUGUGCCUAUGGAUAUGGGUGAAGUAAAAGCCAUUUCAGAUGAUAGGCAGCAGGCAUUUCAAACUGUAAUGUGCCCUACAACUUUGAUAUUUGACGAUAUUGCCGAGCUAUACAUGCUAGACAGAGUAUGCCGAUAAUUUGGAGCAAAACAGGGCAUUCCUAGGAAUCCCUUAGUAAGAGGGCAAACAGACAAGUUGGACAACAAGACUGGCGUAACGUCAAUGCAGAUAAAAUCGCUAACUGGUUGUCUCGCCAUGACCGCAUCAUGCCUGAUAUUCAAUAAGAUACUGACAAUGGGUUGUCUUCAGAGGAGUAUAAGGCCUGGUACAACUUGGUGUCCCACCCUUUGAUACAUAAUAUCGCUAACCCACCCAAAGACAUAUUGCAACCUCAUAUCCAUGAAGAAAAAGAAGUGCUUCCUGCUCAUGAACCACAAUAUAUAAUGAGACCUCGAGGUUAUGAGGACUAGUUGGUUAGUGCAGUUAAGGUAUCUAUAGUCAUGUUGGUAGAGGCACUUACACUUAGACAAAAGUGGUACCAUGAAGUUCUUAAUCGCGUUAACAACGCGUUUGAAUGUUGUCUAAGUUUGUGCCUGUGGAUAUGGGUGAUGUAGAAGCCAGGAUGGAGUAUUUCCAACGUCAAUAUACAACGUCAAUAUAAUGAUGAAGAUGUACCUGACGAGGCUGGAGAUGAUGGAGUGGGUCAAAGUAGUCGGGCUGAGAAGACUUAGCUCCCUCCACACAAUCUGUAGUUAAGAAACCCAGAAGAUAUAACACAUGAAAUAAACAGUAUCAGCCUAAGAGAAGGCGAGGCGUGCAAUGGGUCAUUUUGAGGAUCUCAAUUUUGUAAUGGGUCAUUUUGAGGGUCAUAUAGA
RNA transcript from Amborella trichopoda, 1919 nucleotides. It is a transcript of the gene named putative calcium-binding protein CML25, with no coding region annotated. The record is from RefSeq and is a predicted model, not a curated record. Lineage: Eukaryota; Viridiplantae; Streptophyta; Magnoliopsida; Amborellales; Amborellaceae.